GCCGCGGCCAAGAGUAUCAGCGUGGCUUUUUUGUUGGUCAGGGUGUGAAAAAGGCACGCUGAUGCGUCCGCCGCUGCAG
RNAcentral lists this microRNA precursor (79 nucleotides) under Suid alphaherpesvirus 1. RNAcentral's name for it is "microRNA prv-mir-LLT4 precursor". Its record names the gene prv-mir-LLT4. The record is from miRBase by way of RNAcentral. Lineage: Duplodnaviria; Heunggongvirae; Peploviricota; Herviviricetes; Herpesvirales; Orthoherpesviridae.